AAUCAACGCUGGCGGCGUGCCUCAGACAUGCAAGUCGAACGAUUAAAGCUCUCUUCGGAGAGUGUAUAGAGUGGCGCACGGGUGAGUAACACGUAAGUAAUCUACCCUCGAGUGGGGAAUAACGUCCGGAACGGACGCUAAUACCGCAUAAUGCAGCGGCACCGCAAGGUGACAGUUGUUAAAGGAGAAAUUCGCUUGAGGAGGAGCUUGCGGCAGAUAGUCUUGUUGGUAAGGUAACGGCUUACCAAGGCUACGAUCUGUAACCGGUCUUAGAGGGACGGUCGGUCACACUGACACUGAAUAACGGGUCAGACUCCUACGGGAGGCAGCAGUCGGGAAUUUUGGGCAAUGGGCGAAAGCCUGACCCAGCAACGCCGCGUGAAGGAUGAAGU
RNAcentral lists this ribosomal RNA (392 nucleotides) under uncultured bacterium. Its description in RNAcentral is "bacterial SSU rRNA". It matches the Rfam family "Bacterial small subunit ribosomal RNA", at positions 32 to 414 of the family's 1533-position model. The record is from RNAcentral.